CCCUUAGAUGUUCUGGGCCGCACGCGCGCUACACUGAUGCAUUCAACGAGUUUCUCCCUUGUCCGACAGGAAUGGGUAACCUUUUGAAAGUGCAUCGUGAUAGGGAUAGACUAUUGCAAUUCUUGGUCUUCAACGAGGAAUUCCUAGUAGACGUAGUUCAUCAGACUGCAUCGAUUACGUCCCUGCCCUUUGUACACACCGCCCGUCGCUCCUACCGAUUGAAUGCUCAGGUGAGCCAUUCGGACCUCCUUCGUGCCAGUUUCUGGUUUCGCUGGAGGAAAGUCUUGCGAACCUUAUCAUUUAGAGGAAGGAGAAGUCGUAACA
RNAcentral lists this ribosomal RNA (324 nucleotides) under uncultured eukaryote. Its description in RNAcentral is "partial 18S ribosomal RNA". It matches the Rfam family "Eukaryotic small subunit ribosomal RNA", at positions 1470 to 1796 of the family's 1831-position model. The record is from RNAcentral.